This 460-nucleotide ribosomal RNA is filed under the name uncultured bacterium. Its description in RNAcentral is "partial 16S ribosomal RNA". It matches the Rfam family "Bacterial small subunit ribosomal RNA", at positions 338 to 795 of the family's 1533-position model. The record is from RNAcentral.
CCUACGCGAGGCAGCAGUGAGGAAUAUUGGUCAAUGGCCGGAAGGCUGAACCAGCCAAGUCGCGUGAGGGAAUACGGCCCUAUGGGUCGUAAACCUCUUUUGUCAGGGAGCAAAGGCGACCACGUGUGGACGAGAGGAGAGUACCUGAAGAAAAAGCAUCGGAUAACUCCGUGCCAGCAGCGGCGGUAAUACGGGGGAUGAGAGCGUUAUCCGGCUUUAUUGGGUUUAAAGGGUGCGAAGGCGGAUUAUUAAUUCAGCGGUAAAAUCGUGAGGCUCAACCCCAUCCAGCCGUUGAUACUGGUGAUCUAGAGUGUGCGAGAGGUAUGCGGAAUGUGUGGUGUAGCGGUGAAAUGCAUAGAUAUCACGCAGAACUCCGAUUGCGAAGGCAGCAUACCGACGCGCAACUGACGCUCAUGCACGAAAGCGUGGGUAUCGAACAGGAUUAGAUACCCGGGUAGUC